This is a non-coding RNA of Podarcis lilfordi (Lilford's wall lizard), 73 nucleotides long. The record is from the annotation of a GenBank genome assembly. Lineage: Eukaryota; Metazoa; Chordata; Lepidosauria; Squamata; Lacertidae.
GGCUGCAUAGCUCAGAUGGUAGAGCACAAGGCUCUUAAUCUCAGGGUCAUGGGUUUGAGCCCCACGGUGGGCA